AUGUAGAGAAUAUGUGGUAACCCUAAUGAGUGGAGGAAGGACCAAUUUAUAGAGGUUAUGACGUAAUCUAGUACGUCC
Molecule: non-coding RNA, 78 nt
Organism: Solanum tuberosum (potato)
Lineage: Eukaryota; Viridiplantae; Streptophyta; Magnoliopsida; Solanales; Solanaceae
Source: RefSeq, marked provisional